Marmota monax (woodchuck) is the source of this 2082-nucleotide long non-coding RNA. RefSeq lists it as uncharacterized. The transcript is spliced from 2 exons. The record is from RefSeq and is a predicted model, not a curated record. Lineage: Eukaryota; Metazoa; Chordata; Mammalia; Rodentia; Sciuridae.
AGCAGGGCCUCCCAGCAGGAUGGAGGACCCUGGAGAGGGAUGAGGCCACAGCCAGAACAGGGCCCCAGCAGGGGAAGCAGGAAAAUUCUUUCUCCUCCUGCCUGGGUGUGGUGGGCAGGGCAGAGCAGGGCAACGGAGGGAGCUGGCAAUUACUUUAGGGGGAAGGGAGGCCACUAGAAUAACUCGCCAAAGAAGUGUUUGUUCCUGCCUUCAUUUUAUAGUUGGGAAUACUGAAUGAAGUUGGCACAGCAAGCAGGUGGACGGACCAAGAUUUGAAUUCUGGCCAGGGGCUGCCAGCCUGAGGGCGCUAGCCAUUAGCUCACACUGCCCCCCAGCAGUAGGCGGUGCUUAGAGCUGUGAGGGGCGGGGCAGUGCGCCAGCCCCUCCCUCAGCAUGCUGUUGCUCCACCUCCUCCUCCUUCCUUUUAGAGCUCAGUGGGGCUGAACUUGAUCCUGUUCUUGAUGGCAGGGGAGGAAAUGUUACCCACCAAAAAGCUCGGCCCCCUCUGAGGCUCUGACUGUGACUUACUCUUAUCAGCUCCUGGAGCCUCCAAAUUCUAGAUCUGAAAGAGACCCCCCAGUUUCUCUGGACCAAAUCUCUCAUUGUCCGGAGGAGAAACUGAGGCCCAGACUCGUUUCUAGGAAUAGAACUCAGGCCUCCUUGUGGGCUCCUCCCAGGGUGGCCUGAGCCCCCUCUACUCCCAGAGCCCGUCAUUAUGGUCCCUCAUACCCCAGGAGACCACAGUCCUGGGUCCUCGUCCAUCUAUGCAGCCGUUCCCUGGGCUGCUCUUUGGCCCCACUCUCCUGGGUCAGGAUGCCCUCCCACACUCUAGGUCAAGAAAGAAAUUGGGUUGGUGGCCACAUGACCAGCCCUCUGGGAGGAGAGCCUGUUUUCAAGUAGAGGCCCCAAGGACUGCCAUGUGCACCAGUGGUCGGGGCAGGGUGGCCACUUUCCUCUGUCCAGUUCCCAACUCAGGCUCUGGGAGAUGCGCCUGCAGCCCAGAGGCCCUCUGAAGUUUCCGGAAGAGUCAUGGGGUGGGGACUGCCCACAGGAAGGGCUUCUAGCAGUACCCGGGGCAGCUGGAGCCUUGCUUUGGAGGUGCUGGAUGCUGGUGAGGCCAGGGGCAGGCGGCUCUGAGCCCUUUUCCGGCCCCUUCCCUGGAGUUCUGCUUGGCAACCACCCGUCUGCAUUUUUGCAAAGUGAAGUCAUCUGCAGAUAAUGGGUUUUCCGUUCCUGGUGGAGCAGGAGUUCCAGACAUGGGGCUCUGGGGGAGGUUCUCAAGACAGCUGAUUGUCCAUCCCUUAGUCCCAUCUGGAAAAAGCAGGCUCAUGGAGCUUGGCUGUCUGAACGCCGAGGGCUGUGUCUGCAGGAAUCUGGAGUCACGACGUUCCCUCCAACAUCGGAAUGGGCACGGCCAAUGUUUCCUUUCCUGUUACAUGACUCCUUGGAAUGUCCACCCCGGGAGGCAGUCCGUGGGCAGGCGGAAUGCAGUGGGAAGAAGCUCUGCCCAGGCCACGGGCCAGCUCGGCUUCUGACUGCUGUGUGACUGGGAGCAUCGCUGUGUUCCUCUCUGGGCCUUGAUUUCCCUGCCUGCAGAGUGGGGGAGCGGCAGUUCUCAAUCUGGCUUCCCUGGACCACCCGCAUCAGAUUCACUGAAGCAAAGUGUUCAAAAUGCACACUCCUGGUUCUUCUCUCAGACCUCCUGAAGUUUUUAUGAACUUCCAAGUGACUUGAUGUGGACAACUUUUAGGACCCACAGUGCCCAGGACUCUGAAGUCCCCUCCUUCCAGAUGUCCACUUUGAACACCUUAUGGUCUUGCAGAUUCUCCCCCCGGCACCACCACCAUAACCGAGUGUGAGGGUCUCGCCUGAGGCGAGAGGGUGGAAUUACGUGGUGGGAGAGAAACUGUCUGCUUUCCAGCUCUUGUCAGGGUCCCGAGGUCCUCGAUCCAACUGAAGUCACUGUUAAAGCACUUAUUUCUCCGCUGGUGAAAUUCUAGCUGCUAGUUACAGAGUUUGGUCUCAAAAUUGUGCCAUUUAUUAUUUUUGUUGGAUCGGCUUGUAAACCGGUGCACAGUCAAA